CUACACAUGCAAGUCGAGCGGCAGCNCAANGGGAGUUUACUNCUGAGGUGGCGAGCGGCGGACGGGUGAGUAAUGCCUAGGGAUCUGCCCAGUCGAGGGGGAUAACAGUUGGAAACGACUGCUAAUACCGCAUACGCCCUACGGGGGAAAGGAGGGGACCUUCGGGCCUUCCGCGAUUGGAUGAACCUAGGUGGGAUUAGCUAGUUGGUGAGGUAAUGGCUCACCAAGGCGACGAUCCCUAGCUGUUCUGAGAGGAUGAUCAGCCACACUGGGACUGAGACACGGCCCAGACUCCUACGGGAGGCAGCAGUGGGGAAUAUUGCACAAUGGGGGAAACCCUGAUGCAGCCAUGCCGCGUGUGUGAAGAAGGCCUUCGGGUUGUAAAGCACUUUCAGUAGGGAGGAAAGGGUGUAGUUUAAUACGCUAUAUCUGUGACGUUACCUACAGAAGAAGGACCGGCUAACUCCGUGCCAGCAGCCGCGGUAAUACGGAGGGUCCGAGCGUUAAUCGGAAUUACUGGGCGUAAAGCGUGCGCAGGCGGUUUGUUAAGCGAGAUGUGAAAGCCCUGGGCUCAACCUAGGAAUAGCAUUUCGAACUGGCGAACUAGAGUCUUGUAGAGGGGGGUAGAAUUCC
RNAcentral lists this ribosomal RNA (633 nucleotides) under bacterium 180_oclvp537. RNAcentral's name for it is "bacterial SSU rRNA". It matches the Rfam family "Bacterial small subunit ribosomal RNA", at positions 49 to 670 of the family's 1533-position model. The record is from RNAcentral. RNAcentral also lists the same sequence under 1 other name.